UGGGAACCGGCGUAAGGGGCAGUAAGGCGUAGGUACCUACCCCCAGGUCCGGGAUAGCCCGCCGAGAGGCGGGGUAAUACCGGAUGACCUCGGGAGAGCAAAGCUCCGGCGCCUGAGGCGGGGCCUACGUGAUAUUACCUAGUUGGCGGGGUAACGGCCCACCAAGGGGGAGAUGUCUAGCGGGUGUGAGAGCACGACCCGCGCCACUCGCACUGAGACACUGGCGAGACAC
Molecule: ribosomal RNA, 232 nt
Filed under: uncultured bacterium
Lineage: Bacteria
Description: partial 16S ribosomal RNA
Rfam family: Bacterial small subunit ribosomal RNA
Source: RNAcentral